This 2119-nucleotide long non-coding RNA is filed under the name Zea mays. Its description in RNAcentral is "long non-coding RNA (ZMAY_LNC005280)". The record is from RNAcentral. Lineage: Eukaryota; Viridiplantae; Streptophyta; Magnoliopsida; Poales; Poaceae.
UUAAACAUAAUGACAUGAACUGAAUUAACAAGUGCACACGACUAGAAAAAAACAUCAUUUGACAUCGAGUUUCUAAUUAAAUCAUGGCUGCAACUGGGCACCGUUAUUAUAAUAGUGAAGGUGGACGUGCUGCUACUUCCCUCAUUCCCAACAUGAAUCAAGUACCUGCAUUGAGUAAUGCAAGAGUGAGAUGAUACAUCUCAGCAAGCAAAUUGUUUUGACGAGAUAUUUAAACCACAAAUUGAAUUAAAUAAUAUUUUAAAGGAAUCACAAUUGAGAUCAGAAAUACUUGUUGAUAUAGAACUCAAUAGUCACAAUAUAACCAAUACCAUCUCAUUUCCUCGAACAACCACAAUAGGUUGUAUAACCCUUCCCUACGUCAACAAUACCUGCAGAUAUCACUUCAAUGUAUGCAUAGGAAUGCAAUGUGUAGGUCAUCUGCCAUCAUACCUCUGAGAGUAUAAAACCACAGCAUCUGCUAAUAUCACUUCAAUGAAUGCAUAUAAAUGCAAUGCAUAUGUCCUCUGCCUUCAUACCUCUAAGGGUAUGAAGCCGCAUCGUACCCCUCCUCGGGCAACGUACGAUGCUAAGUUGUACCGGUACGGUCGGACCAUAGGUCACGACCCAACUUCAGAUGCAAAUGAAUCAUGUAAUGCAUAUGACAUGCUGCAUUUAUCAAUAUACUUCACUUCCUUUAGAUACAAAACAAACCUCAAAUAAUACUUCAUCUGCCUUCAGAUACAAUACAAACCUCAAAUAAUACUUUAUCUGCCUUCAGGGGUGUAAAUUAAUCUCAUGGGUCAUACUCGAACCAUAAUCAUCAUCAAUAUAUGACUGAGCAUUAGUAUAAUACAAGCAAGUAAAGCAUCACCAUAGAGUUCAAUUAUGAAAGAAUUCCAUAAUUCUGAAUAUUAGAGUGUAGGCGAUAAAAAAACAACAAGUCAAAACGGUAGAAACCACUGCCACAUUCACUUGCCUUCAUCGAAGAAGAAAGAUGUACUAGGCAUGAUCCGGAGUGUAGCCACCUGCUAGCGGGCAUAAAACUUAGUACAAAUAUUUCACAAACAUUUGCCAACAAUCAACAAAUCGCUCCUACACUUGAAACCAAGACCCGGUGGAAAGACUCCCACCCUGAACCACAUGCCAAACAACAGUAGCGCUGUUUGUUAAUUUUGUAUCUUUAAAAUUAUAACAGUGGUGAUAUUAAACAAAUAAUCUAGGAGUGUCUACACAAAAUACUCUACAACUUCGGUAUUCAAUGAAUAAUUAAAUUCUGCCAUCUAUAAGUUCUAAAACAUCUGAUAAGAUAAAUGUCUGAAUCUGUUUCAGACAGCAACAUAGUUAACUUUAAAAUUCAAUAUAUACCAAACUACUCAACCAAAAAUUAUGAAAUUCUGCUGGCAGUAAUAACUUUUAUCCCUCUACAAAUGUCUCCAUAGUUGGAACAGCCAAUUCGGCUAUUUACUAUAUGAAACCCACCAGUGAACAGACCCGCUCAUUUUUAUCAGGCAAACAGGAACAGCCACAGUAAAAUAAACAUAACUGGAGUUUCAUAAUUCAUAUGAAUCCAAUCUUUAACAAUCUGGAAAGCUUAUAAAAUUUUCUACAACUUAUGUUACAAUCCUAAAGUUUAAUUCUGUUGAUAAAAUUGCCUAAAUCUUAAGAGAACAGAUUCUGCACAGAAUUAUGAGACUGAAAAACUGCUAUAAUCAAACUGCAAUAACAUUCUGAUCUGAUGUCCGAUUGAGGUGUUCUUCACGGCCACGGAAAGACCUACAAAUUAUCUACGACUCAUAGUUAGACUUUUUAUUUUUUUGAGGCCACUAAGACCACGGAAAACUGGUAUGAACAGAAACUGUUGAAUCUGUCAUCCUGCAGAAACUAAUUUCGAGAUCAAAAUCUAAUCUCCCAUCUAAUCCAACCAAAAAAACUAAUUGCAGGGCCUAAAACUCAUCCAAAACAAGGGAAAGCAUUCAUCAAGUGGAGAAAAGAGAGAGAGGAAAGGAAAUCCAACCAAUUCUUGGAGAGGAACGACGAUGAUGCACGACGGUAUGCCCUCAUCUCCCCUCUCUUCUCUUCUUUUUUUCUUCCUCUCUUCUCUUGGGGCAAGACACAAAGG